AGUCGCGUCGGGCCUCCCUAGGGGGCUGCGAGUGUCAGUCGGCUCUCCGCACGUGUCCGCGGCCUCGCGGAGCAGUCCACCCCUAGCUGGUUUCUGCUUCCACCUGCUGAUCUCGCAGAGCACUGCAAGCUAUUUGGCAUAUGAAGGUCUUGACCUGAGAAAACCAUCUUGGAUAACCACAGCAAGGAAAAGGAAAAAUGCAACACCUAGGAGAUUUCAGUAAACAGUAGAAUCAUGCCAACCUAAUCUGUGUUAAAAUGCUUGGAAUGUGGGAGCCGCUGAUGAUGCCUGUUGUCUGUGUGUCUGACUGAAUCCUUUCUUUUCUCAGAGCAGCAAAGCAAAGCCUGGGAACCAGGCCAAAUGCCUGCCACUUACCUUAAAUUGAUCAGCCACUUUGAGAUUAAAAC
Molecule: non-coding RNA, 407 nt
Filed under: Pongo abelii (Sumatran orangutan)
Lineage: Eukaryota; Metazoa; Chordata; Mammalia; Primates; Hominidae
Source: RNAcentral